This is a non-coding RNA of Trichobilharzia regenti, 45 nucleotides long. Lineage: Eukaryota; Metazoa; Platyhelminthes; Trematoda; Strigeidida; Schistosomatidae. The record is from Rfam.
AUGCAGCUGACGAGUUCCGAAUAGGGCAAAAUGCGCAUCCUGGAU